CUAAAGGGGGCCCAGUGUCUGCACCCCACGCCUCGGGAAGGGGCAGCCUCUGCAGGGAGUUGCUGCUGGCGUGGAGUAAGCGGGAGCCAGGGAGGCUGGUCAACACCUGCGUGCACAGGACAGACCCACAGCAAAGAAUCUUCCACCCACGGGCUGGGGUUGGGGCACCUGUUCCGGGGAAGCCCAAGUCCCUCUGUGACAGCCUUUCCCUCAUGCUCAGACAACAGCAAGAAGCCAAUUAAGAGCUGCCAAGGUUGAGUUUCUUUUGGGUGCCAGUCACUGGGUCAGGUAUUCCACAUUCCUCCAUUAGACUCUUCCAAAGGGCCUGGCGAGACAGCCAAUACGGUUCGGCUGUGUCCCCACCCAAAUCCCAUCUUGAGUUGUAGCUCCCGUAAUUUCCCCAUGUUGUGGGAGGGACCCUGUGGGAGGUAAUUGAAUCACGGAGGUGGUUUCCCCCACACUGUUCUCGUGGUAGUGAAUAAAUCUCACGAGAUCUGAUGGUUUUAUCAGGGGAAACCCCCUUGGGCCUGACUCUCAUUCUGUCUCUUGUCUGCCACCACGUGAGAUGCGCCUUCUGCCUUCCGCCAUGAUUGUGAGGCCUCCCCAGACACGUGAAACUGGCCUCUUCCCCUUGGAAGCAAGAGCACCAUGUGGUAAGGACAUUCAUGCCAUCUGUAGACCCUCCUUGUCAGGUCCCAGCCUGUAGCCGGCAUUAAGCAGGAAGGCUGAGGCGGGAAGCCGGUGAGAUGCACCAGCCCCAGCCGUGUCGUCUGCACCUGCAGGACAGAAGCCCCCGGGUAAGAUCCCUCUGCUCACCCAGUCAAGCCGGAACCGUGAGAGGUCAUGGCGAAUGGCCACUGUAAAUAACCCUCAGGAUGACAAAUGCUGAUUUGCACUUGGAGUCAGGACUCCUGGAGAGUCCACCCUCUUCUCCCUAUGCUGGUGGUUCCCCAGCCCGGGAAUGUCACACUGCACCAACCCAACCUGGGAAGCUCUGUCCCUGACUGUAAUGUCUGAGCCAAAAGUCAGGACGCAUGAUCUGGUGUGAGUUUGUUGUGGCACGACUCAGUGAAAGAAAUGCCAUCUGGGAACUGCGAUAGGACAUGGGUUGGAAUCCCUGGGACAUGUAUUGGCUUUUUUUUUUUUGUUUUUUUAAAGGAAAGUUCGGCCGGGCGCGG
This 1178-nucleotide long non-coding RNA is filed under the name Homo sapiens (human). Its description in RNAcentral is "HSALNT0117830". The record is from RNAcentral. Lineage: Eukaryota; Metazoa; Chordata; Mammalia; Primates; Hominidae.